CAUUGUUUUUGUCAUCCAAAAAGGUUCCCCUUUUUGAGUAAUAUUUACUUGAAAAAUCAAAAAACAAUAGAUAAAAGCAUGAAUGACCUCAUAUAACAUUUAUAUUUAUAUUCACAGGUUCCAUUUGUAACAGAAUAUUCUGGCCCAUCCAUCCCCAGAGCACCAACCAGGACCCCCAACAGGACCAAGGAUCUAUCCAUGUUCAGUCUCCUGAUGCUGGGUAUACAUCUCUGCUGCAUGGUGAUCUUAACAUAUAUCAUUUCAUCAAGUCGAAAUUAUAAUGUAAUGUCAUGUAUAUAUCAGGAAUGUGUUGGAGGCA
Long non-coding RNA from Esox lucius (northern pike), 319 nucleotides. RefSeq lists it as uncharacterized. NCBI's taxonomy places the organism in Eukaryota, Metazoa, Chordata, Actinopteri, Esociformes, Esocidae. The record is from RefSeq and is a predicted model, not a curated record. The transcript is spliced from 3 exons.